RNAcentral lists this long non-coding RNA (985 nucleotides) under Mytilus galloprovincialis (Mediterranean mussel). The record is from RNAcentral. Lineage: Eukaryota; Metazoa; Mollusca; Bivalvia; Mytilida; Mytilidae.
GUUUAAUAUAUUUAUAUCUUUGUUUAUGUUUAAAUCGCUUAUAUGGUCAUAGAAGAUCAACUCAAAAGUUAAUUAGAUUGCGUCUAGGCUAAAUUUCACACGAAACUAAGCUAAAUCUUAUUGAGACCAUGACCUGUAAAUUGUUUUUUUUUUAUACUUUUGAUAGUUUGGAAAAAUGUUUAACAUUGUUAUAAAUAGAAUAUGAGAAUUUGAGCCAAAUUGGUGAACACAAAUUUGACAGCUAGUGCCCCUUCAACGAAUAACUUAAGAUAAGUGGGCUUUGUUAAUAAUAACACAUACACGGCUUGGUUAUAAAAAACUUAAGAAAAUAGAGUUUUCGGUCAGUAAUAAUGGACUAGACAGUGCCAUUACAGCUGAGCAAACCUUUGACAAAUAACAAGACCAUUAUGAAAACACUCAUAUAAUUAACACUUUGAUUAAAAUACUUCAAACUAAUGAAAACAUGAAAUGUAUGAGAAAAAAACUAUAAUGUGUAACUUUCAUGAAUGUAAUUACAACCGUUUUCAGAUAGAGACAUUCUCGCCGUAUAAACUGAUAUAACACCGCUACUUAAAAUAAACUCAUCCAAAUUAUCAUGCACGCUUAUAAUUUGUUACACCAGACGUGCGUUUUGUCUAUAGUGGUCCUCAAACCAAAACAAGUUGAAGGCUAAAUAUCAAGUUGAAAAGUAAUUGAACCCCCUAAAUAUCGACAAAUUAGUGUCAACAAUGGUUUAGACAACCUUUUUGUUGGGUCAGGGGAAGGGGUGGGGGUAUUGAAACAUUUUUGGUUCAUUAUGACAAUUAUUGCAAAUGAUUCGUUGCAAACCGGGCGUUUGGUCGUUUACAUAUACAUAACAGAUUAAGAAAGAAAGUAAAUGCCGUGUGUAAAAUAUACUGAAUGAAUACCAAAUAAUAAUAUAAAUCUAAUGCCAAAAAUAACACUAUAUCAAAUAAAUAAUCUGAACUGCUAAUCACUAUAAAAC